RNAcentral lists this ribosomal RNA (253 nucleotides) under uncultured bacterium. Its description in RNAcentral is "partial 16S ribosomal RNA". It matches the Rfam family "Bacterial small subunit ribosomal RNA", at positions 524 to 776 of the family's 1533-position model. The record is from RNAcentral.
UACGUAGGGGGCAAGCGUUGUUCGGAAUUACUGGGCGUAAAGGGCGCGUAGGCGGCACAGCAAGUCGGGAGUGAAAGCCCGGGGCUCAACCCCGGAAUGGCUUUCGAAUCUGCUGAGCUAGAGUACAGAAGGGGCAACCGGAAUUCCCAGUGUAGCGGUGAAAUGCGUAGAUAUUGGGAAGAACACCUGAGGCGAAGGCGGGUUGCUGGGCUGAUACUGACGCUGAGGAGCGAAAGCGUGGGGAGCGAACAGG